This is a long non-coding RNA of Bacillus rossius redtenbacheri, 1285 nucleotides long. RefSeq lists it as uncharacterized. Lineage: Eukaryota; Metazoa; Arthropoda; Insecta; Phasmatodea; Bacillidae. The transcript is spliced from 2 exons. The record is from RefSeq and is a predicted model, not a curated record.
GCCAAUGCUCCUCUAUGUCGCAUAGACCGCUAUGCCUCAUCAACGUCUCGCAAAAGCGUGUGCACCGAACGCGACCGUUCGCGCAGCAAAGUGUAGUUCGUGCGACGAGGCGAACGCCAUGCAACGAGUGCUGCGCCGGUGGAAGGAUCCGGCCGGGUGUGGCAUAUCCCUCCGCCGCACUACAACAAAUUAAUUUAUGUAUAUUUUUCCACAGAUCCUAGUCAUUCGGCGAGGCAGACAAGGCGAGCAGCCAAGCGAGACCAACAGGAGCCAUUCGACACACAACGCACAAGACAACUGCUGUCCGCCUACACCUUCAAGGUCACCUGCUGUUGUCGCCUAGAGUCCUACUUCUAGAACUUGGACUGUGAUAAGUCUUCUUCAUCACUGGCUGUGGCCAUAAACUGUGAGACUUGUUCUUCCUGCAGAUGCGAGGACUUAGAAUAAUUGGCGAGUCGAAGAAGCGAGGGGUAAUUGAUACUCACUUUAGACUUAGUAGUUUGUGACUGUAACGAGCAAGGCUGACAGAGGUGGGCAUGUGGCGACAGCAAGGUUGAGAGCAGACGAGUGUGUUAGGCAAAUGAGCAGCUGAUUGCAGACUUUAUUUUACAUGAAAUGUUGGAGUAGUACGGGCUGAGAAUUUGUGUCGCAAUUAAAAGAACUUAGCCUGCCGUCGAACCUGCGAAAUACACACACUGGGGAGCAUUGAAAAUUUUCUGUGAGCAAAAAUUUGGCAAGACGAUAUGUAUUGAUGUGACAUUAGGGAGUUGUAACAUUAAACUUAGGAAUAACGGCCUGCUUUGAUACUUUGACAAGAUUGCCAUAGAAGUCACCGGUCAAAGUCCAUGUGGCGUCCAGUUGUCUUCUGCUACUCGGAGUUGUGGUAUCCAGUCUGGCGAGUACGAGCACCCCCAGUCUCCUGUUGCUGAGGGGCGUUCGAAGUCUGACAACACCACUCUGACCAGUGAACUUCACGCCUUUUAGAGGAGACAAACAGCAAUAAAUAAUUUAAGGUGAGUUAGUCUUGGAAUAAGAGACUUGUAUAAGUGUUUUGGGAUUUAUUGUAGGCUUCAGAUUUGUACUUACAAAUUAUAAGAAAUUGUAGUAAAUAGUAUCUUAAACUUAUUUAACUUUCGUAUUGUAAUUUUGCUUUUUUUUUGUAUAAUUUUGUAUGUUGUUUGUAAUUGCAGUUGAUGUGUUUGAUUUAUGUGUCAUUCUGUUAAUGGCCAUUAGCUGUGAAAUGGUACAUAAAACAAAACAGAUACAUAAAUAAAAGUAAUCUGUG